RNAcentral lists this ribosomal RNA (254 nucleotides) under uncultured bacterium. RNAcentral's name for it is "partial 16S ribosomal RNA". It matches the Rfam family "Bacterial small subunit ribosomal RNA", at positions 524 to 776 of the family's 1533-position model. The record is from RNAcentral.
UACAGAGGUCUCAAGCGUUGUUCGGAUUCAUUGGGCGUAAAGAGCUCGUAGGCGGCUCAGUAAGUCGGGUGUGAAAACUCCAGGCUCAACCUGGAGACGCCACCUGAUACUGCUGUGGCUAGAGUCCGGUAGGGGAGCAUGGAAUUCCUGGUGUAGCGGUGAAAUGCGCAGAUAUCAGGAGGAACACCAGUGGCGAAGGCGGUGCUCUGGGCCGGAACUGACGCUGAGGAGCGAAAGCGUGGGGAGCAAACAGG